UGGCUCAGAACGAACGCUGGCGGCAGGCUUAACACAUGCAAGUCGAACGCGUGUAGCAAUACACGAGUGGCGCACGGGUGAGUAACACGUGGAUAUCUGCCUUUUGGUUCGGAAUAACCCUGGGAAACUAGGGCUAAUACCGAAUGGUUCCUACGGGAUAAAGAUUUAUCGCCAAAAGAUGAGUCCGCGUCCGAUUAGCUAGUUGGUGAGGUAACGGCUCACCAAGGCGAGGAUCGGUAGCUGGUCUGAGAGGACGAUCAGCCACACUGGGACUGAGACACGGCCCAGGGACCUACGGGAGGCAGCUCUGGGA
RNAcentral lists this ribosomal RNA (313 nucleotides) under uncultured bacterium. RNAcentral describes it as "bacterial SSU rRNA". It matches the Rfam family "Bacterial small subunit ribosomal RNA", at positions 20 to 359 of the family's 1533-position model. The record is from RNAcentral.